UCUGUUUGGAGGUAUAAAAAGUCUAACCUGCCCACUGAGAAGAAAAUAAUUAAAGGGCCGCGGUAUUAUGACCGUGCAAAGGUAGCAUAAUCAUUAGGUCUUUAAAUGAGAUCUUGUAUGAAUGGUUGAACAAGAAAAAGGCUGUCUCUAUAUUAGAAUUGAAUUUAACUUUUAAGUGAGAAGGCUUAAAUGAUUUAAAGGGACGAUAAGACCCUAUAAAACUUUACAUAAAAAUUUUAUUUAAAUGAAUUUUUUUAAUAAAUUUUUAAUUUAAUUAUUGUGUUGUGUUGGGGAGACUUAAGCAUAAUUAAUAAUAACUGCUUAUAAUAUUAUACAGAGAUAUUUGUAGUAGUAAGAUCCUUUAGUAUGGAUUAUAAGAUUAAGUUACUUUAGGGAUAACAGUGUUAUUUUUUUUGAGAGCCCAUAUCGAAAAAAAAGUUUGCAACCUCGAUGUUGAAUUAAAAUAUCUAUAUAAUGUAGCUGUUAUAUAUGAAGGUCUGUUCGACCUUUAAAAU
RNAcentral lists this ribosomal RNA (515 nucleotides) under Lepidothelphusa cognetti. Its description in RNAcentral is "partial 16S ribosomal RNA". It matches the Rfam family "Bacterial large subunit ribosomal RNA", at positions 1830 to 2594 of the family's 2925-position model. Lineage: Eukaryota; Metazoa; Arthropoda; Malacostraca; Decapoda; Gecarcinucidae. The record is from RNAcentral.